RNAcentral lists this long non-coding RNA (2519 nucleotides) under Lynx pardinus (Iberian lynx). The record is from RNAcentral. Lineage: Eukaryota; Metazoa; Chordata; Mammalia; Carnivora; Felidae.
GCUUUUAGCCUCUAGAGUUUCUUUCUCUCACUUGGUCUCCUAUAAUAGAAUACGGUAUCUCCUGCAGAAGGGGCUGCCACUUCGUUUUAAUACACCAUCAAGGAGCUGCUGAUGGACUUCUAUACUAACAUACAUAAAAGCAGAGGUGACAGGGGCUCUUCAAUUACAGCCUCCUCGGAUACCGUUUCCCCCUUCAAUUAUUCAACCAGAGGAAGAGCGGAUCCGCAAACACACAGCUGAAGCAGCUCUUAGGGCAGAGGCAGCCAGAGAGUGAGUUAGGGUGGGGGAGGGGGAAGGAAGGGAACUAGCAAGGGCGAGCAUUAUUUGCUGGAAGUGUUUAAGUUUAUUGCUCGAAUGAUGUUUCUAAUUAGUACCAUGGCAAUAAAUUAAAGUCGCCUUUGUUUAACUGAUUUAUUAUUUACUACAGCAUCUACCUUAGACAGGGUAAAUUGGUAAUGAAUUGUUUUUAAAUCAAAACAUUUGUAACGUUUUAUCAUCCCUCAGCCUCUGUAUGUAAAAGUGGAGAAAUCCAGGAACAAGGGUGCCACGAAACUUAGUCGUGCCCCACAGAGCGGGAAAAAGAGGAGGAGUGGGGUGUCAGGGAGUAGUGGCGCGAAGAUCCGCGUGGCCUGGGCCGCCCCACCCGAGGAGGGCGGACGCUAAGCGCCUACCCACGGAGCUGGGACUGGCCGCACCGCACGGGCCCGGAGGACGGACAACUGCCGUGACCCCCGGGACUUUUUGCAAACACUCCCAGGAGUGUGGCGGGACGUGUGGGUCCACGAGCGAGGCCUCCCCCGCUCACAGACCUGAUGUGACGGAGAAGCGGCCACCUCGAGGGUCAAGGAGGGAAGGCUCCGCACCCUGUGUCCCCGCCACAAGUCUCCGCCCAGUAACUGCCCUGGGGAGAAGCAGCUACGGAUCCUGUCUGGCUGCUUGCACAGCUCUGCAGCGAAGUGCCCCCUCCUGCCCAGUAAUAUUUCCCAGGGCGCCAGCGUGACUUCUCAGGCAUUAGCCAGGUUACCUACAGAGUCUGGGCUUCCCACUCGCGCGAACCGCGAAGACGCCGCGGCUGCGCUCUAUCCUUGUGCCGCCAAGCAUUCUGAGAUGCAAGCUGCUCCCCCAGCAAGGCUGGAGCCGGCAGCCGCCCCAAGCCUCUGCCACUACACCAGAAGUUGACUACAGCUCUGCAUCCCAGAGUUUGGUGUAUGCUUACUUCCGACUUACACACUCCUGGCCACUAAAGACAUAUCCCAGACAAAAUCUGACUUGAUUAAAAAAAAAAAAAAGUCAAUUCGUUCUUUAGAAAGGUACUUAUGGCAGAGAACAAGGAGGUGACAAGGUACCAGUGGUCCGCACCAGACAUCUAAGAAAGAACCAAGAGGUCCAAGUGUCUGACGUCAAGUACAUGGAGAGAAAUAAACUUUCCCUAUGCAACUGAAUUCAGGUUCACCUGGUGCAGCUUUUAAGAGGGCACCUCAAGCCCUCCCAAAGGGUUUCUGCAAAAGCCGCAGGCACACCGGGGUUUCAAAGCGAAGUCUUGCCCCAAAUGGCUUCACAGAUUUUUAUUCCUUGUAUCUUAAGCAAAAAUCUAACUAAAAAUAAUUCCAUCUACUUCAUUUGGCUUUAAAAGACUCAGCAUCCACAUACCUAAGGUUCAAAACAUAAACCCUCAAUACUAAGCAAAUCAGAAACAUUGUUAGAGCUUCUUUCAUCCAAAAGUAGGGAAAGGCUACAAGGGGUACAGCUUGAAAGUAUAAUACAUAUACUAAAAGCACAUGCAUGAGUCUCACUGAAAUGCCAAGGGAGGAGUGAAGCCAUCUGUGUAAUCAAUAACAGGAUAGUUAUAGAUUUCUGCAGCAGUGAAGUCUUUUAAAAGCAACAGUCAAUUAUGAAAAUAAAUUCAUUUUUACAAGUGAAACUCUGUACUGCCUGAGAAUAUAUUCAAAAUUAGAUUUACAACGUUAACAUCUUAAGAAAACUUUGACUCAGGUUCACUUUUACUUCCUCAUUUUUAUUGUUUAAAACAAUUUUAGUGGCUUAUGGUAAUUUAAAAGUAUAUCCAACAAUAUUCUACCAUAUAUAGAUGUGCACUUUCUCACAAUUUAAACAUAUUUUCUCUCUAAUAACUAGUCUUUUUAACAAUAAAGCAAUAGCAUAAAAUAUAUCUGAAUCUUAAUUAUGAAGUAAUUAUCAAACAAGGUGCUUGCACUAUUUUUACCCUGCCCCAUUUUUCAACAGCAUAUGGAAAUUACUGAAAAGAGAUUUAUGGUUAUAAACCUUCACCCCAUAUCCACUCCACACAGCCUCCCCCCCCCCAACUGGUGCACAUAUACAGCAAUUGCUCUGGCUCUUGGCAACAAUGGGAGAGAAGGGGAAGAGACGGGAGGAAGACUUUGCCAGAGAAGAAAAAUCUAGAAAAAUGUAGGUUCUUUCCCGGUUUCCCCUUCCUCCUCCUAUUGCCUUCAAGCAAAAGUAAUUUUGUUAGAGUUUGCACCUUCUGCACAAUGUUGAUAGAA